RNAcentral lists this long non-coding RNA (2535 nucleotides) under Olea europaea subsp. europaea. The record is from RNAcentral. Lineage: Eukaryota; Viridiplantae; Streptophyta; Magnoliopsida; Lamiales; Oleaceae.
UCACGAAAAAUCCCACAUUGCUCCUCGGUUUUAAUCACUUCCGCUUCCAUUACCGAUUUUUCAUCCAAAAACGGCCUAUUCACAUUUGACAAACUCUCUUCAUCGUCCGCCAUGGGAACCCAACUUUAUUUUCAAACACUGCCCCUUGAAUUUGCGUAGGCACCGCACUAUAGGUGAAUAGUGCUAUACAAAUGUGCAUACGUGUUGAAAGAACGCUCAAUGCUGAUGAAUUUUAUUCUCUUGCGUUUUGGGGUUUCAUUUUUUCCUUAAGGAGCCAGCCAACACAUGAAAUUGAUGACUGCUUGGAACUUGUAAAGAGAAUCCGCUUAUCAUUUUGUGGAUCAUGGGCCGGAGAGUUUAAAAGGUGGGAUGUUCUAGCUGAGCCCUUGGGCCUUUUGUGUUUCGAUCCAUUCCUUGUGUGUGUUUUGGGCUUUGGGAGAUUUAUCUAGUCUACCAAUCAUACCCUCUAUAGGUGUAUUUUUACGAGAAAAAAUUGCAAUUGGGGUUCCAAACCUUUUUAAAAACUGUAAAGGAUUCUCGACAUUCUAUUUUUGGCCCUGCCAUUGCAAAGGUUUGUAAAAAUAUACACUGAAAAGACCUUUAGAAGGUAACCAACCGAAUGUCUGUCAAUUGAACAAAUGUGCAGGAAUUAACCUUUAGUUGAUCAUUCUUAAAAAAGGAAAAAUAUAUAUAUCUACAUUUUCCCACUUAAUUCACCAAUUAACCCAACCUAACCUUGCUCCCUUCUUCUUAUCGUCAUCACCAUCACAAUUUGCUCAUCUUCUAUUCCACAACUUGUAAAUUUCAUUGAGAAAAUUUGUAUCAUCCCACCACUCCUCCAUCACCACCAAUAAAGUUGAGUGCUUUACAUUCAUGAUAUUUAUGUUACUUAAUUUAUUAUUUUGUUAUCCUUCAGAGUGUUUUAGAACGUUUUAAUGUGUGUUUUGAUGUUGUGAGAUAGGUUAAUGAAAUUGAAGAAAAUAAGCAAAAGUUGACAAAAUUGGAGAGAAUGACCAAAUUGUAAGAGAUCCAAAAUUUGAGGACUAAAAUGUAAACAAUUAAAAGUUGUGUUGAACCUCGAAUUGAAGAUCCGAAAGUGCUAUGAGUCAAUUGGAUGAAGAAAGAUGUCAAAGGGAUCAAAUUUAGUAAAAAUAUGAUACAAAUCAAUUUUCAACCGAAAAAAGUUAUGCUAUGGAUUUUAGUUUCAUAUUGACACCCAUUUUUGACAUAGAAAACGAUCUAAUUGGAGAAUGAUGUCCGAAGCAAAGUUGUAUCACUUUAAGCUAGCUUUCUAAUGCAUUUUGAAUUUCCUCAAUCAGAUAACAAACGAAAAAGUUAUGACAAAAAUACUGAAAAAUGCGCAGUGUAGUCUUUCCACCUGAAAUAGGAGCCACCACGCUGAAAAUAACAAUAAAAGUGGCGCCGCAAUACCAAUAUUGGGCACCGAGGUGCCGACUAUGGGGAAAAAGGAUUUUUUUUUUUGUUUUUGAACUCUUUGUUUGGCCCAACUCAACCCUAAUUCGUCCAAAAACUUCAAAAUACUAUAAAUACCAUUCAAAAGACAUAUUUUCUCCAACAAUUGAAGGGGACAAGAUUGAAGUCAAUUCCACAAACAAUUCAUCAAGAGCAAGGAGGCUAACAUCAAGGAAUCGAGCAAGGAAGCAUGAAGAACAUCAAGAGGUAUUCCAAUUAAAAGCUUCAAAAAGAGUUUUUCUUUCUUUUCCUCUUUAUGUUAUUCAUCAAUAUGUUUAGAUUUGUUUCUUCUAUCACGAACUAAACAUUUAAUUUAGGGUUUGAUUGUAAUCAAAACUUUAAGAAUAUAGAUUGAUUAAUUUUAGUUAUUUCUAUUUGAUUUUCCAUGUUUAUUUAUUCGUGAUAUAAUUUUAAUGCUUUCAAUUAAUUGACUACUAAUUGAAUGAGUAGAUGCUAGUUAAUUCCAGCACUCGAGGGAGAGGAACUUAGGCUCGAUCAUAAGAUUAACAUAACAUAGAAUUUAUGGGUUUCGAGAGAAAGUAUAAAUUCUUUGAAGGAUGUUCCAUCUAAGAAAACGAUCUAAAUAAUUUUUUGACUUUAAUUUAGAAUAAAGAUAUUGGGAUUAAUUGUUGAGAAAAAUAUAGGAAAAUCUGAAAACUUAAUGAAUUCCAACGUUAUCUUUUAAGAUAUGUUUCUCCCUUAUCCAAUGAAGUCACAAUUGGGGUAUGAUAGAAAAUCUCUCUCAGGAUAUAAUGGAGGCGUUUGAUUCAAAUUGUGAUUAUUUGAUCAAACUAAGAAGACACUCGAAAAAAAAGGACUGAUGAUGCCAAAAAAGAGAAGAAUAAUUUUUUUUUAAUGUGUUUUGCAAACGAGAAUUCGCCCAGAAUUUAUAGAAAUUGAAGCAACUAUUUGAAUAGGUAUGUCCCUUGAAAUGAAGAACACAUCUAUUGGAAGUAAUUGUAAAAAACGAACAGAUGCACCUAUUCAAAGACUUUUGAAAAUAAAAUUAUCUUUCCGAGGUGUUGCCCCCUCGACCCCUGCGACCUGACCGGGCAGGUCAAU